UAUCACAUAAGUAAUCGGGAAUACUAGACAGUAAAUCUACCGGCGAGUGUCGUUAUGAUGGUACUGGUUAAGGUAGGUAACUCCCAAAUAUUCCACAUACAGAAUUUAGCUCCCUUAGGUGUGUGUCUGCUAAGAACUUGAAUCAUUAAUUAGUCGGCGAGCUUGGCAGAAUCGUUAGCGCGCUGGACGAAAUGCUUAUCGGUUCUGAGUUCAAAUUCUGCCGAGGUCGACUUUGCCUUUCAUUCGUUCGGAGUCAAUAAAUUAAGUACCAGUGAAACACUGGGUUAGAUGUAAUCAAUUAGCCUCCCUCCUCCAUAGAUUUCAGUUCUUGUAUCUGAAAUGGAAAGAAAUAUUGGCCCAACUCUUGGGGUAUUUUUUUUAGACCUAUGUCUGGAAAAGAAAAGUGUAUCUUAUAUGCCAUCAAAUCUGAUCAGAUGACUUCAAGAAGAUAAGUAGGGAAGCAAAAGUUGGUUAAAGCUUACCGUGUGGUACUGGAAAAUGGAAAGCACCACCAUGAAUAGGACUUCUGUGACCGAGGAAAUGACCUUGAAUAAGAAAGAA
Molecule: long non-coding RNA, 561 nt
Organism: Octopus sinensis (East Asian common octopus)
Lineage: Eukaryota; Metazoa; Mollusca; Cephalopoda; Octopoda; Octopodidae
Exons: 2
Source: RefSeq, a predicted model, not a curated record